Molecule: long non-coding RNA, 1042 nt
Organism: Rhineura floridana
Lineage: Eukaryota; Metazoa; Chordata; Lepidosauria; Squamata; Rhineuridae
Exons: 2
Source: RefSeq, a predicted model, not a curated record
ACUGUAUAAAAGGGUUGCAACCCGGUGCAUUUUCAACAACAGCUCUUUCUCCUUCCUUCUGCUUCUGAAGCACUUCUCCACAGACAACCAGAUCUCAUCCCACCCUGUCAAGAUGACUUACUGCAGAACUGCCAGCAGCGUGCCUUAUGGCUCAGGCUCCGGUUUUGGCUCCUGCUAUGGUGGAGGAGGAUCUGUAGGAUCGUGUGGAUUGGCCCCAGCCUAUGGGGUCGGCUCUCUCUCUGGCGCCGGCGGCAGGCUCGGCAUCAUUGAUGCAGGCUUCAGUUAUGGUCCUGCAGCUUGCUCCAGUCAGCUUCCAGGGUCAGAGGUGGUGAUCCAGCCCCCACCCUGUACCGUGUCUAUCCCAGCACCAUGCCUGUCUCUAUCUGCAGAGCCUGUUUCUGUGAGCCAGGUCCCAUCAGGUAGCUACCCGGCUCUGGACUCCUCUGGUGGGUCUUCUAGUGGAUCUCCAUACGGAGGGUACGGCGGAGUAGGAUAUGGUGGAGGGUAUGGUGGAGGGUAUUGCAACUACGGUGGCUACAGUGGCUGCAAAAGAUACUUCAGAAGAUACCUGCCUUCCUACUGUGGACCCUGUUAAAUGCUGACACUUGCCUUGCACAGAUAGGAUUUACAUGAAAAUGACGACGAGAUGCCAAUCUAGGACGGUGAACACCUGUCCUGGGAUGGAAUGUCAGACAUGCUGAUCGCCACUCUUUUCCUGCUUUAAGACGGGUGAGAGUUGGGGUGCACAGUGCUCCUGAAGGAUCAAGGCUGAUUAUUUUCUUACUCUGUUUCUCCUUGACCUGCUCCUCUUUCUUUCAGUAUUUUUUUUUAAUGCCACCAUCAUCUCAAUAGCGUUGGCAAGGCCACUGUUGAAUACCUCCUUCAGUGGGUGUGGAACCAUGCACGCACACUGUCCACUUUUCUAUGUAGACUGUCACCUGCCAUCUUAUGUGUAUAAUGUGCAUCACCAUCUCAUACCAUUUCCUUAGUGCUCCUCUGUUCACCUCUCUUUUUCAUAAUAAAGCUUAAUGCUGUAUCAUCA